This 329-nucleotide ribosomal RNA is filed under the name uncultured Butyrivibrio sp. RNAcentral describes it as "bacterial SSU rRNA". It matches the Rfam family "Bacterial small subunit ribosomal RNA", at positions 28 to 339 of the family's 1533-position model. The record is from RNAcentral. Lineage: Bacteria; Bacillati; Bacillota; Clostridia; Lachnospirales; Lachnospiraceae.
GAUGAACGCUGGCGGCGUGCCUAACACAUGCAAGUCGAGCGGACCUGAUUGAGUGAUUAGCUUGCUAUGAACUCAUGACUGGUUAGCGGCGGACGGGUGAGUAACGCGUGGGUAACCUGCCUCAUACAGGGGGAUAGCAGUUGGAAACGACUGGUAAUACCGCAUAAGCGCACAGUACCGCAUGGUACAGUGUGAAAAACUCCGGUGGUAUGAGAUGGACCCGCGUCCGAUUAGCUGGUUGGUGAGGUAACGGCCCACCAAGGCGACGAUCAGUAGCCGACCUGAGAGGGUGACCGGCCACAUUGGGACUGAGACACGGCCCAAACUCC